GACGAACGCUGGCGGCGUGCUUAAUACAUGCAAGUCGAACGGAAAGACCCGGCGUUUGUGGGUUUCUCGAUUGGCGAAGGGGUGAGUAACACGUGAGUAACCUGCCCUUGACUGUGUGAUAACUUCAGGAAACUGCGGCGAAUACCGCAUAUGAUCUCCUGCUGCAUGGUGGUGGUUGGAAAGAUUCGGCGGUUGUGGAUUGACUGGCUGGUUAUCAGCUUGUUUGGGGGGUAGGGGCUGACCAAGGCUUUGACGGGUAGCCGGCCUGGGAGGGUGACCGGCCACAUUGGGACUGAGAUACGCACCAGACUCGUACGGGCGGCAGCAGUGGGGAAUCUUGCACAAUGGGGGGACGCCUGAUGCAGCAGCGCCGCGUGCGGGAAGACGGCCUUUGGGUUGUAAACAGCUUUCGAAUGUGACGAAGAGUGCGUGACGGUAAUGGGUAAAGAAGCCACGGCUAACUACGUG
Molecule: ribosomal RNA, 468 nt
Filed under: uncultured bacterium
Lineage: Bacteria
Description: partial 16S ribosomal RNA
Rfam family: Bacterial small subunit ribosomal RNA
Source: RNAcentral